Molecule: ribosomal RNA, 565 nt
Filed under: uncultured bacterium
Lineage: Bacteria
Description: bacterial SSU rRNA
Rfam family: Bacterial small subunit ribosomal RNA
Source: RNAcentral
CCUACGGGAGGCAGCAGUGGGGAAUCUUGCGCAAUGGGCGAAAGCCUGACGCAGCAACGCCGCGUGCGGGAUGAAGGCCUUCGGGCUGUAAACCGCUUUCAGCAGGAACGAAAAUGACGGUACCUGCAGAAGAAGGAGCGGCCAACUACGUGCCAGCAGCCGCGGUGACACGUAGGCUCCAAGCGUUGUCCGGAUUUAUUGGGCGUAAAGAGCUCGUAGGCGGUCUAAUAAGUCGGGUGUGAAAACUCUGGGCUCAACCCCGGAGACGCCAUCCGAUACUGUUAUGACUUGAGUUCAGGAGGGGUANCGGGGAAUUCCUAGUGUAGCGGUGAAAUGCGCAGAUAUUAGGAGGAACACCGGUGGCGAAGGCGCCGCUCUGGACUGAAACUGACGCUGAGGAGCGAAAGCAUGGGUAGCAAACAGGAUUAGAUACCCUGGUAGUCCAUGCCGUAAACGGUGGGCACUAGGUGUGGGUUUCAACUACGAAAUCCGCGCCGUCGCUAACGCAUUAAGUGCCCGCCUGGGGAGUACGGUCGCAAGACUAAACGCAAAUGAAUUGACGGUU